This 1431-nucleotide ribosomal RNA is filed under the name Escherichia coli. Its description in RNAcentral is "partial 23S ribosomal RNA". It matches the Rfam family "Bacterial large subunit ribosomal RNA", at positions 1 to 1468 of the family's 2925-position model. The record is from RNAcentral. Lineage: Bacteria; Pseudomonadati; Pseudomonadota; Gammaproteobacteria; Enterobacterales; Enterobacteriaceae.
GGGUUGUGAGGUUAAGCGACUAAGCGUACACGGUGGAUGCCCUGGCAGUCAGAGGCGAUGAAGGACGUGCUAAUCUGCGAUAAGCGUCGGUAAGGUGAUAUGAACCGUUAUAACCGGCGAUUUCCGAAUGGGGAAACCCAGUGUGUUUCGACACACUAUCAUUAACUGAAUCCAUAGGUUAAUGAGGCGAACCGGGGGAACUGAAACAUCUAAGUACCCCGAGGAAAAGAAAUCAACCGAGAUUCCCCCAGUAGCGGCGAGCGAACGGGGAGCAGCCCAGAGCCUGAAUCAGUGUGUGUGUUAGUGGAAGCGUCUGGAAAGGCGCGCGAUACAGGGUGACAGCCCCGUACACAAAAAUGCACAUGCUGUGAGCUCGAUGAGUAGGGCGGGACACGUGGUAUCCUGUCUGAAUAUGGGGGGACCAUCCUCCAAGGCUAAAUACUCCUGACUGACCGAUAGUGAACCAGUACCGUGAGGGAAAGGCGAAAAGAACCCCGGCGAGGGGAGUGAAAAAGAACCUGAAACCGUGUACGUACAAGCAGUGGGAGCCUCUUUAUGGGGUGACUGCGUACCUUUUGUAUAAUGGGUCAGCGACUUAUAUUCUGUAGCAAGGUUAACCGAAUAGGGGAGCCGAAGGGAAACCGAGUCUUAACUGGGCGUUAAGUUGCAGGGUAUAGACCCGAAACCCGGUGAUCUAGCCAUGGGCAGGUUGAAGGUUGGGUAACACUAACUGGAGGACCGAACCGACUAAUGUUGAAAAAUUAGCGGAUGACUUGUGGCUGGGGGUGAAAGGCCAAUCAAACCGGGAGAUAGCUGGUUCUCCCCGAAAGCUAUUUAGGUAGCGCCUCGUGAAUUCAUCUCCGGGGGUAGAGCACUGUUUCGGCAAGGGGGUCAUCCCGACUUACCAACCCGAUGCAAACUGCGAAUACCGGAGAAUGUUAUCACGGGAGACACACGGCGGGUGCUAACGUCCGUCGUGAAGAGGGAAACAACCCAGACCGCCAGCUAAGGUCCCAAAGUCAUGGUUAAGUGGGAAACGAUGUGGGAAGGCCCAGACAGCCAGGAUGUUGGCUUAGAAGCAGCCAUCAUUUAAAGAAAGCGUAAUAGCUCACUGGUCGAGUCGGCCUGCGCGGAAGAUGUAACGGGGCUAAACCAUGCACCGAAGCUGCGGCAGCGACGCUUAUGCGUUGUUGGGUAGGGGAGCGUUCUGUAAGCCUGUGAAGGUGUGCUGUGAGGCAUGCUGGAGGUAUCAGAAGUGCGAAUGCUGACAUAAGUAACGAUAAAGCGGGUGAAAAGCCCGCUCGCCGGAAGACCAAGGGUUCCUGUCCAACGUUAAUCGGGGCAGGGUGAGUCGACCCCUAAGGCGAGGCCGAAAGGCGUAGUCGAUGGGAAACAGGUUAAUAUUCCUGUACUUGGUGUUACUGCGAAGGG